UGAAACCAUGGCUUCCCUCCCUGGCGUCAGGAGAGGAGCACUGAAAAGGAAACCCUCAUCAUUGUGGUCUGAAGGCAUAUUAACCCUCCAUUGCCAUGACAAAACUAUUCUAGAAGAGGAACGGAUUCUUUGGGAUCAUGGUUUCCUGAGGUUCAUUGCGUGGCCACCUAUCCUGCCUGCUUUUCGGCCUUUGUCUGAGGUCACACAUCAUGGCAGAAGUGUGGGGUGGAGUAAAGCUGUACACCUCCCAGCACCCAGGAAGCCAAAGAGGACCUCAUAUUUUGUUGUAUAAAGCCCAUCUUCCCAAACUCAUUCAGCCAUGAGCCCAUAAAUAGAUGAAUUCACCCA
RNAcentral lists this long non-coding RNA (348 nucleotides) under Mus caroli (Ryukyu mouse). RNAcentral's name for it is "lncRNA (MGP_CAROLIEiJ_G0006045.1)". The record is from RNAcentral. Lineage: Eukaryota; Metazoa; Chordata; Mammalia; Rodentia; Muridae.